UACGGAGGAUGCGAGCGUUAUCCGGAUUUAUUGGGUUUAAAGGGUGCGUAGGCGGCGAGUUAAGUCAGCGGUAAAAGCCCGGGGCUCAACCCCGGCCCGCCGUUGAAACUGGCUGUCUUGAGAUGUCGAGAGGUAUGCGGAAUGCGCAGUGUAGCGGUGAAAUGCUUAGAUAUUGCGCAGAACUCCGAUUGCGAAGGCAGCCUGCCGGCCCCACACUGACGCUGAGGCACGAAAGCGUGGGUAUCGAACAGG
Molecule: ribosomal RNA, 252 nt
Filed under: uncultured Bacteroidales bacterium
Lineage: Bacteria; Pseudomonadati; Bacteroidota; Bacteroidia; Bacteroidales
Description: partial 16S ribosomal RNA
Rfam family: Bacterial small subunit ribosomal RNA
Source: RNAcentral